RNAcentral lists this ribosomal RNA (433 nucleotides) under uncultured bacterium. RNAcentral describes it as "partial 16S ribosomal RNA". It matches the Rfam family "Bacterial small subunit ribosomal RNA", at positions 29 to 507 of the family's 1533-position model. The record is from RNAcentral.
AACGAACGCUGGCGGCAUGCCUAACACAUGCAAGUCGAACGAGACCUUCGGGUCUGGUGGCGCACGGGUGCGUAGCGCGUGGGAACCUGCCCUUAGGUUCGGAAUAACUCCCCGAAAGGGGUGCUAAUACCGGAUAAUGUCUUCGGACCAAAGAUUUAUCGCCUUUGGAUGGGCCCGCGUUGGAUUAGCUAGUUGGUAGGGUAAAAGCCUACCAAGGCGACGAUCCAUAGCUGGUCUGAGAGGAUGAUCAGCCACACUGGGACUGAGACACGGCCCAGAAUCCUACGGGAGGCAGCAGUGGGGAAUAUUGGACAAUGGGCGAAAGCAUGAUCCAGCAAGGCCGCGUGAGUGAUGAAGGCCUGAGAGUUGUAAAGCUCUUUUACCCGGGAUGAUAAUGACAGUACCGGGAGAAUAAGCACCGGCUAACUCCGUG